Molecule: ribosomal RNA, 441 nt
Filed under: uncultured soil bacterium
Lineage: Bacteria
Description: bacterial SSU rRNA
Rfam family: Bacterial small subunit ribosomal RNA
Source: RNAcentral
AGAUUGAACGCUGGCGGCAUGCCUAACACAUGCAAGUCGAACGGGAGUAGCAAUACUCUAGUGGCGGACGGGUGAGGAAUACGUAGGAAUUUGCCCUUAAGUGGGGGAUAACCCGGGGAAACCCGGAUUAAUACCGCAUGACCUCGAAAGAGCAAAGUGGGGGAUCGCAAGACCUCACGCUUUUGGAGAAGCCUACGUCGGAUUAGCUAGUUGGUGAGGUAAUGGCUCACCAAGGCGACGAUCCGUAACUGGUCUGAGAGGAUGAUCAGUCACACCGGAACUGAGACACGGUCCGGACUCCGUACGGGAGGCAGCAGUGGGGAAUAGUUGGACAAGUGGGCGCAAGCCUGAUCCAGCAAUCGCCGCGUGUGUAGAAGAAGGCCGUUCGGUUAGUAAAGCGUACUUUAAGGUUAGGGAAAGAAAAACGUCGACUACUAACAC